This 73-nucleotide transfer RNA is filed under the name Ixodes scapularis (black-legged tick). RNAcentral's name for it is "tRNA-Ser for anticodon GGA". It matches the Rfam family "tRNA". From Rfam's summary of the family: Transfer RNA (tRNA) molecules are approximately 80 nucleotides in length. Their secondary structure includes four short double-helical elements and three loops (D, anti-codon, and T loops). The record is from Rfam by way of RNAcentral. Lineage: Eukaryota; Metazoa; Arthropoda; Arachnida; Ixodida; Ixodidae.
UCCUGGCUAGCUCAGUUGGUAGAGUGCUCCACUGGAAAUGGAGAGGAAACUGGUUCCAUACCAGGACCAGGCG